Molecule: ribosomal RNA, 468 nt
Filed under: uncultured bacterium
Lineage: Bacteria
Description: partial 16S ribosomal RNA
Rfam family: Bacterial small subunit ribosomal RNA
Source: RNAcentral
GACGAACGCUGGCGGCGUGCUUAACACAUGCAAGUCGAACGGAAAGGCCCUGCUUUUGUGGGGUGCUCGAGUGGCGAACGGGUGAGUAACACGUGAGUAACCUGCCCUUGACUUUGGGAUAACUUCAGGAAACUGGGGCUAAUACCGGAUAGGAGCUCCUGCUGCAUGGUGGGGGUUGGAAAGUUUCGGCGGUUGGGGAUGGACUCGCGGCUUAUCAGCUUGUUGGUGGGGUAGUGGCUUACCAAGGCUUUGACGGGUAGCCGGCCUGAGAGGGUGACCGGCCACAUUGGGACUGAGAUACGGCCCAGACUCCUACGGGAGGCAGCAGUGUGGAAUAGUGCACAAUGGGCGGAAGCCUGAUGCAGCAACGCCGCGUGCGGGAUGACGGCCUUCGGGUUGUAAACCGCUUUCGCCUGUGACGAAGCGUGAGUGACGGUAAUGGGUAAAGAAGCACCGGCUAACUACGUG